CCUACGGGAGGCAGCAGUGGGGAAUAUUGGACAAUGGGCGCAAGCCUGAUCCAGCAAUGCCGCGUGAGUGAUGAAGGCCUUAGGGUCGUAAAGCUCUUUUACCAGGGAUGAUAAUGACAGUACCUGGAGAAUAAGCUCCGGCUAACUCCGUGCCAGCAGCCGCGGUAAUACGGAGGGAGCUAGCGUUGUUCGGAAUUACUGGGCGUAAAGCGUACGUAGGCGGUUAUUCAAGUCAGAGGUGAAAGCCCGGGGCUCAACCCCGGAACGGCCUUUGAAACUAGGUAGCUAGAAUCUUGGAGAGGUCAGUGGAAUUCCGAGUGUAGAGGUGAAAUUCGUAGAUAUUCGGAAGAACACCAGUGGCGAAGGCGACUGACUGGACAAGUAUUGACGCUGAGGUACGAAAGCGUGGGGAGCAAACAGGAUUAGAUACCCUGGUAGUCCACGCCGUAAACGAUGAUAACUAGCUGUCCGGGCACUUGGUGCCUGGGUGGCGCAGCUAACGCAUUAAGUUAUCCGCCUGGGGAUACGGUCGCAAGAUUAAAACUUAAAUGAAAUUGAACGGCUGAGACGNGCGAGACGACGACGAGGAGAGG
Molecule: ribosomal RNA, 593 nt
Filed under: uncultured bacterium
Lineage: Bacteria
Description: bacterial SSU rRNA
Rfam family: Bacterial small subunit ribosomal RNA
Source: RNAcentral